UUUCCGCAGGUGAACCUGCGGAAGGAUCAGUAUUGUAUAACCGAGGUGCGAGGGCUGUCGCUGACCCGAAAGGUCGUGCACGCCCGAGUGCCCUCACACACAUCCAUCUCACCCCUAUGUGCACCACCGCGUGGGUCCCCCUUUGGCUUGUUCGGAGGGGGGCUUACGUUUUCACACAAACUUUGUAUGCAGUGUAGAAUGUAUUUUUUGUUUUUGCGAUCACGCAAUCAAUACAACUUUCAACAACGGAUCUCUUGGCUCUC
This 263-nucleotide unclassified non-coding RNA is filed under the name plant metagenome. Its description in RNAcentral is "partial contains small subunit ribosomal RNA, internal transcribed spacer 1, and 5.8S ribosomal RNA". The record is from RNAcentral.